Molecule: ribosomal RNA, 437 nt
Filed under: uncultured bacterium
Lineage: Bacteria
Description: bacterial SSU rRNA
Rfam family: Bacterial small subunit ribosomal RNA
Source: RNAcentral
AACGCGAAGAACCUUACCCAGGUUUGACAUGCAUUCGAAAACCGUGGAAACACGGUCCCCGAAAGGUGGAUGCACAGGUGGUGCAUGGCUGUCGUCAGCUCGUGCCGUGAGAUGUUGGGUUAAGUCCCGCAACGAGCGCAACCCUUGUCCUUAGUUGCCAGCAUUUAGUUGGGCACUCUAAGGAGACCGCCGGUGACAAACCGGAGGAAGGUGGGGAUGACGUCAAGUCAUCAUGGCCUUUAUGGCCAGGGCUACACACGUGCUACAAUGGUAGAUACAGAGGGUUGCCAACGCGCGAGCGGGAGCCAAUCCCAGAAAAUCUAUCGUAGUCCGGAUUGGAGUCUGCAACUCGACUCCAUGAAGUCGGAAUCGCUAGUAAUCGCAGAUCAGCAUUGCUGCGGUGAAUACGUUCCCGGGCCUUGUACACACCGCGCAUA